GACGAACGCUGGCGGCGUGCCUAAUACAUGCAAGUAGAACGCUGAAGGAGGAGCUUGCUCUUCUGGAUGAGUUGCGAACGGGUGAGUGACGCGUAGGUAACCUGCCUGGUAGCGGGGGAUAACUAUUGGAAACGAUAGCUAAUACCGCAUAAGAGUAGAUGUUGCAUGACAUUUACUUAAAAGGUGCAAUUGCAUCACUACCAGAUGGACCUGCGUUGUAUUAGCUAGUUGGUGGGGUAACGGCUUACCAAGGCGACGAUACAUAGCCGACCUGAGAGGGUGAUCGGCCACACUGGGACUGAGACACGGCCCAGACUCCUACGGGAGGCAGCAGUAGGGAAUCUUCGGCAAUGGACGGAAGUCUGACCGAGCAGCGCCGCGUGAGUGAAGAAGGUUUUCGGAUCGUAAAGCUCUGUUGUAAGAGAAGAACGAGUGUGAGAGUGGAAAGUUCACACUGUGACGGUAUCUUACCAGAAAGGGACGGCUAACUACGUG
RNAcentral lists this ribosomal RNA (495 nucleotides) under uncultured bacterium. Its description in RNAcentral is "partial 16S ribosomal RNA". It matches the Rfam family "Bacterial small subunit ribosomal RNA", at positions 28 to 507 of the family's 1533-position model. The record is from RNAcentral.